ACGGGGGGUGCAAGCGUUGUUCGGAAUUAUUGGGCGUAAAGAGCGUGUAGGCGGCCUGAUGUGUCAGAUGUGAAAGCCCUGGGCUUAACCCAGGAAGUGCAUUUGAAACUGUCAGGCUCGAGUAGGGGAGAGGGAAGUGGAAUUCCUGGUGUAGAGGUGAAAUUCGUAGAUAUCAGGAGGAACACCGGUGGCGAAGGCGACUUCCUGGCCCUAUACUGACGCUGAGACGCGAGAGCGUGGGUAGCAAACAG
Molecule: ribosomal RNA, 251 nt
Filed under: uncultured prokaryote
Description: partial 16S rRNA
Rfam family: Bacterial small subunit ribosomal RNA
Source: RNAcentral